Molecule: non-coding RNA, 195 nt
Filed under: unclassified sequences
Description: manA RNA
Rfam family: manA RNA
About the family: manA RNA has been located in 5'UTR regions of genes of mannose or fructose metabolism. Has been proposed as a cis-regulatory element and as a riboswitch candidate for his complex secondary structure.
Source: RNAcentral
UUGUUGGACGCAACAACUGGGUGUGACUGAAUAAACUUACUGGCAUAUAGCUGGUUAAGGUGAUACGACACAGGUGGUGCUGCUCCUAGGGAACUAGGAGAAUCGACUUACCAGUCGGGUUGUAGGCAGAGAUGAUUUCUAAACUGUAGAAAUGCCCAUCUCUUGUUGGUAUACAGGACUCCAACCACCCUCCUU